AGAGUUUGAUCCUGGCUCAGGAUGAACGCUGGCGGCGUGCUUAACACAUGCAAGUCGAACGAAGCAAUUUAGCGGAAGUUUUCGGAUGGAAGUUAAAUUGACUGAGUGGCGGACGGGUGAGUAACGCGUGGGUAACCUGCCUCACACUGGGGGACAACAGUUAGAAAUGACUGCUAAUACCGCAUAAGCGCACAGGACCGCAUGGUCUGGUGUGAAAAACUCCGGUGGUGUGAGAUGGACCCGCGUUUGAUUAGCUAGUUGGUGGGGUAACGGCCUACCAAGGCGACGAUCAAUAGCCGACCUGAGAGGGUGACCGGCCACAUUGGGACUGAGACACGGCCCAAACUCCUACGGGAGGCAGCAGUGGGGAAUAUUGCACAAUGGGGGAAACCCUGAUGCAGCGACGCCGCGUGAGUGAAGAAGUAUUUCGGUAUGUAAAGCUCUAUCAGCAGGGAAGAAAAUGACGGUACCUGACUAAGAAGCCCCGGCUAACUACGUGCCAGCAGCCGCGGUAAUACGUAGGGGGCAAGCGUUAUCCGGAUUUACUGGGUGUAAAGGGAGUGUAGGUGGCCAUGCAAGUCAGAAGUGAAAAUCCGGGGCUCAACCCCGGAACUGCUUUUGAAACUGUAAGGCUAGAGUGCAGGAGGGGUGAGUGGAAUUCCUAGUGUAGCGGUGAAAUGCGUAGAUAUUAGGAGGAACACCAGUGGCGAAGGCGGCUUACUGGACAGUAACUGACGUUGAGGCUCGAAAGCGUGGGGAGCAAACAGGAUUAGAUACCCUGGUAGUCCACGCCGUAAACGAUGGAUACUAGGUGUAGGAGGUAUCGACCCCUCCUGUGCCGGAGUUAACGCAAUAAGUAUCCCGCCUGGGAAGUACGAUCGCAAGAUUAAAACUCAAAGGAAUUGACGGGGGCCCGCACAAGCGGUGGAGUAUGUGGUUUAAUUCGACGCAACGCGAAGAACCUUACCAAGUCUUGACAUCCUGCGACGAUGCUGGAAACAGUAUUUUCCUUCGGGACGCAGAGACAGGUGGUGCAUGGUUGUCGUCAGCUCGUGUCGUGAGAUGUUGGGUUAAGUCCCGCAACGAGCGCAACCCCUAUCCUUAGUAGCCAGCAGUAAGAUGGGCACUCUAGGGAGACUGCCAGGGAUAACCUGGAGGAAGGUGGGGAUGACGUCAAAUCAUCAUGCCCCUUAUGACUUGGGCUACACACGUGCUACAAUGGCGUAAACAAAGUGAAGCGAAGUCGUGAGGCCAAGCAAAUCACAAAAAUAACGUCUCAGUUCGGAUUGUAGUCUGCAACUCGACUACAUGAAGCUGGAAUCGCUAGUAAUCGCAGAUCAGAAUGCUGCGGUGAAUACGUUCCCGGGUCUUGUACACACCGCCCGUCACACCAUGGGAGUCAGUAAUGCCCGAAGUCAGUGACCCAACCGUAAGGAGGGAGCUGCCGAAGGCAGGACCGAUAACUGGGGUGAAGUCGUAACAAGGUAGCCGUAUCGGAAGGUGCGGCUG
RNAcentral lists this ribosomal RNA (1509 nucleotides) under human gut metagenome. RNAcentral describes it as "bacterial SSU rRNA". It matches the Rfam family "Bacterial small subunit ribosomal RNA". The record is from RNAcentral.